UUUUUUGUCGUUAUCGAACGCCAUCCAGUAAAAAUUUGGAAAACUAUUACAAAUUUUUGACUUGUCGAACGCACCUAAUAUCUCGAAAUCUUCGAAAUCUCUCGCUGCCGCUGCAGCAAUAAGUGUGGUUGCAAUAUAUUGGCCAUUAGCUCCAGCUACAUGUAGAGCAUGUUAAACAUUUUUUUAUUUGUAUAUGUAGAGCAUCUGACAGCCCACUUUCGUACAUAAAUAGAAAAUAUAAAACAUGACGAGGGACUUGAAAUUGAAGAUGAUCAAGAGAACACAACGUUGGAAACUGAGAACAUGAAGCUAAAACAUGGAUUAGCAAUUCUGAAUAAGGCUAUUGUAGCAGAACAAAACGCCUCAACCACUUCUGUUUUUGGUAAAUAUGUACCAGCGAUACUGCCCACCGCCGUCGGUGCCUCACACGCCAUAUCCUGGGAAUUCCUACAGCUUGCCUACACCAGCUAUUAUAUCACGUGUGAAUGCAACUGCGGCUAAAUUUUGUUAUUAUCAGUGCAAUCGUGCCAUGUCAUUGGCAAAAACACUAAAGGCUGCUGGCACAAAUAAAUCGCCCAGAGAUAUGGCCAACGAAAUAAAUAAACAUGGUGUUCAAUCGCUACUUGUGGCUUAAAUUGAGGUUGCAAGUGCUCGCUUCAUUAAUGUGUUUCUCAAAAGGAUUAUGCUGUUCGUGUGAUUUCCAACCUCUUACGGUCUGGCGUUAACCUGCCAACUUGCCGCAAGCAACGUAUCUCAUAUAGGUGCACGUUAGUCAUUUACGUUCGACUAUUAUUGGAGAGUCCAUUUGUCGUUUGUUGGAGUUUCUGGGGCACGAUAAUCGCACGCCCUAAUCAAGGCUAUCACAGAAUCCAUCAUAGUCCGAUUUUUCGUGAAAUCUACGAAAAUGCUAUUGAAUUCAAGUAGCUACGAGCGCAGCGUAUGCUUUGAAUAUACACAUUCGUAGCAGUUCAGAUUCAGUGAUCGCUUUUUCGUAGAUUUUAUGAAAAAUCGGACUACGAUGAAUUCCGUAAUAGCCACCAACAUGUAUUCUACUUUGACAAGAUGUUGGAGAAUCGCGGCAACACAACCGUAUACCUAUUCCAUGCUUUUACGCGCAUAGGCUAAAUUUCACGCACCUAGCUUAAGUGCUUGACAAAGGCUGAAGGCAUAUCUUCACCAUAAUAACUUAAAGUAAAAAAGUUGAAGGCAUGCAAUAAAAGCAUACAA
This is a long non-coding RNA of Rhagoletis zephyria (snowberry fruit fly), 1227 nucleotides long. RefSeq lists it as uncharacterized. The record is from RefSeq and is a predicted model, not a curated record. NCBI's taxonomy places the organism in Eukaryota, Metazoa, Arthropoda, Insecta, Diptera, Tephritidae.